CUUCUCGUCCACCUGCCACGUGUCACUUCAACUAUAAUAAAAAAAAGACCUGAUCUAAAUUUUCAUUUAUAGUUGAAGUACCAAGAUUUUGUGUUUUUUUAUACGAAGAACAUGAGCCGCGACCGUUUGCAACAAAAUUCUUCCGUUAAUACGGUAAGCCAGUCAAUAGAGGAGAAGAGCCAAAGGCUGACCCAGAAAGUGAAAGCUUCUGAUUACCCAGUGGAAUUGUUGCAUAUAAAGGACCCGUCUCUCCUCUUAACGUUUCAGUGUGCCCGCCCAAUACACCUGAGGUUUCCUUCCAGCAAUGGCAGCUCAGACUGGAGCAGCAGUCCUCCUCGCCAGCCUCCUCCUUGCUCUUGCAGCCAUCGCCAGCAGCAACACUGAAGGCGACAUACUUUACGCGCAAAGGCAGGCGUGGAAUGACCCGAACGGUGUGCUGCAGAGCUGGGAUCCGACCCUUGCCAAUCCCUGCUAUUGGUUUCAUGUCAGCUGCAACAACGAGAACUCCGUCGCCCGAGUGUAUAUAUGCCACCCAUGUUUUUCUUCACUCCUCCUUGUUCUGAACUGAAGGCCGAAACUGAAUUGAUCAUGGUUCUUAUCGACAUUCAGAACCUUGUGACUUGGACAAAAGUUCCACUACCUGAGUUCUUCCUAACUGUGCGGGGAUUUGGGGAAUGCAGGCAUCUCAGGCCCCCUCAUUCCUGAACUGGGCCAACUGAAGAGCCUUCGAUACCUGGAGCUGUAUGAGAACAAAAUGAGUGGACCAAUACCGGCGACGCUGGGAAACCUGAGGAGACUGAUCAGCCUUGAUCUUUACAGCAACCAUCUCACAGGCACGAUACCGGCCUCGCUCGGGAACAUAGGGUCGCUGCGUUUCCUGUAUGAGUCCUGCUGCAGCAAGCUCCUUUUCUGAUUACGAGAUGCUACGACACCUAUCGUCUCCAAGUGCUGAAAACAAUCUGUUGGUGUCUCUCUGCAGAAGGAUCCAUCGGAACAAGCUUGCAGGAGGUAUACCGGCAUCGUUGGGUCGUCUGACGAAGCUUCUCAGGUUGGAGCUUCAGGAGAACAUGCUGACCGGCACGGUGCCGCCGGAGGUCCUCUCUCUUGUUCUUGUCGGAGAAUUGACUAAGCUAAAUGUUGCGGAAAACAAUCUCACCGGCACUGUCAGAUCAUCUAAACAAAGAGUGACUACGGUCAUCCAAGACACGCUCAACUGAAGACUAGAAGCUGAGCAGCAUGGCAAACUGAACUUUCGUAAGAAUAAAUUGAAUGGUUUUCCGUUCUGAAACUGCCGACAGUAGCUGCAUGCAGCCUGAGCUUUUGUAGACCUCUGUUCCGUUAAGAGUCAGGGCUUACCUCUCCUUCAAGAAACAAUAGAAGAAAUACAUAGUUGAGUCCAUUGUUAUUAGCAGGAAAUUCAAAAUAAUGAUUCAUCCUUGUGGUUUAUCUUAGUCACAUCCAUACUUCUACGUCCGUUUGAGCGGCAACUAAUUCCGGACGGAGGGAGUAGCACAUGGUG
Molecule: non-coding RNA, 1519 nt
Organism: Triticum urartu
Lineage: Eukaryota; Viridiplantae; Streptophyta; Magnoliopsida; Poales; Poaceae
Source: RefSeq, a predicted model, not a curated record